AGGAAAGAAAUCGUUAAGGGCGUAUGGCGGAUGCCUAGGCUUUCAGAGGCGACGAAGGACGUGGUAAGCUGCGAAAAGCUGCGGGGAUUGGCACACACGAAUUGAUCCGCAGAUGUCCGAAUGGGGCAACCCGGCUGGUUGAAGACCAGUCACCUCGUAAGAGGAGCAAACCCGGAGAACUGAAACAUCUAAGUACCCGGAGGAAAAGAAAUCGAAGAGAUUCCGUAAGUAGUGGCGAGCGAAAGCGGAUUAGCCCAAAAGCUAAUUUAUGUUUAAUAGAAUGUUCUGGAAAGAACAGCCAUAGAGGGUGAUAGCCCCGUAUAUGAAAGGCAUAUUUAAGUGAUAAAUGAGUAGGGCGGGACACGUGAAAUCCUGUCUGAAUAUGGGGGGACCAUCCUCCAAGGCUAAAUACUCCUGAAAGACCGAUAGUGAACAAGUACUGUGAAGGAAAGGUGAAAAGCACUUCGAAUAGAAGGGUGAAAUAGAACCUGAAACCGUACGCCUACAAGCGGUCGGAGCACCUAUAUGGUGUGACGGCGUGCCUUUUGCAUAAUGAGCCUACGAGUUAAUUUUACUAGCGAGGUUAAGGUAUUAAGUACCGGAGCCGGAGCGAAAGCGAGUCUGAAUAGGGCGUAUAGUUAGUAGGAUUAGACGCGAAACCUUGUGAUCUACCCAUGGGCAGGUUGAAGCUCUGGUAACACAGAGUGGAGGACCGAACCGGUUGACGUUGAAAAGUCUUCGGAUGACCUGUGGGUAGGGGUGAAAGGCCAAUCAAACUGGGAGAUAGCUCGUACUCUCCGAAAUGCAUUUAGGUGCAGCGUCGUAUAUAAGUUUAUUAGAGGUAGAGCUACUGAUUGGAUGCGGGGGAGUCAAAUCCUACCAAUUCCUGACAAACUCCGAAUGCUAAUAAAUGUUCUACGGCAGUGAGGGCAUGGGUGCUAAGGUCCAUGUCCGAGAGGGAAAGAACCCAGACCAACAGCUAAGGUCCCAAAAUAUAUGUUAAGUUGAAGCAACGCGGUUGGACUGCAUUGACAGCUAGGAUGUUGGCUUGGAAGCAGCCAUUCAUUUAAAGAGUGCGUAACAGCUCACUAGUCGAGCGGUCCGGCAUGGAUAAUAAUCGGGCAUAAACAUAUUACCGAAGCUAUGGAUUUGUAUUUUAGAUACAUCUGGUAGGAGAGCAUUCUAUUUGCGCCGAAGCAGUACUGUGAGGUAUUGUGGAGCGGAUAGAAAAGAAAAUGUAGGCAUAAGUAACGAUAAAGCGGGCGAGAAACCCGCUCACCGAAAGACUAAGGUUUCCUCAGCCAUGCUAAUCAGCUGAGGGUUAGUCGGGACCUAACGCGAACCCGAACGGGGAAGUGGAUGGACAAUGGGUUAAUAUUCCCAUACUUGCUCACACUAAAAAGGGGACGGAGUGCCGUACUUACUGGAGACUGACGGAAUAGUCAAGGCCUAGCCUUCGGGCGAAGCUGCUGUAGGGAAAGUGCUUCCAAGAAAAGCCGAAGUGAAGCAACCCGUACCAAAACCGACACAGGUAGUCGAGGAGAGAAUCCUAAGGUGCUAGAGUGAAUCAUGGUUAAGGAACUAGGCAAAAUAGUCUCGUAACUUCGGGAGAAGAGACGCCAUCAGCAAUGGUGGCCGCAGUAAAGAGGCCCAGGCGACUGUUUAUCAAAAACACAGGACUCUGCAAAAUCGAAAGAUGCAGUAUAGGGUCUGACACCUGCCCGGUGCUGGAAGGUUAAGGAAGGUGCUUAGGGUUAAACCGAAGGCAUUGACUGAAGCCCCAGUAAACGGCGGCCGUAACUAUAACGGUCCUAAGGUAGCGAAAUUCCUUGUCGGGUAAGUUCCGACCUGCACGAAUGGUGUAACGAUCUGGGCACUGUCUCAACCAUGAGCUCUGUGAAAUUGUAGUAUCGGUGAAGAUGCCGAUUACCCGCAAUGGGACGAAAAGACCCUGUGAACCUUUACUAUAACUUCGUAUUGACUUUGAGUAAGUAAUGUGUAGGAUAGGUGGGAGGCUUUGAAGCUUGCACGCUAGUGUAGGUGGAGCCAACGUUGAAAUACCACCCUUUACUUACUUGGAGCCUAACUUCUUUUAGAAGGACAUUGCGUGGUGGGUAGUUUGACUGGGGUGGUCGCCUCCAAAAGAGUAACGGAGGCUUUCAAAGGUACCCUCAGCACGCUUGGUAACCGUGCGUAGAGUGUAAUGGCAUAAGGGUGCUUGACUGUGAGACCUACAAGUCGAUCAGGUGCGAAAGCAGGACAUAGUGAUCCGGUGGUUCCGUAUGGAAGGGCCAUCGCUCAUAGGAUAAAAGGUACUCCGGGGAUAACAGGCUAGUCUCCCCCAAGAGCUCACAUCGACGGGGAGGUUCGGCACCUCGAUGUCGGCUCGUCACAUCCUGGGGCUGGAGAAGGUCCCAAGGGUUGGGCUGUUCGCCCAUUAAAGUGGCACGCGAGCUGGGUUCAGAACGUCGUGAGACAGUUCGGUCUCUAUCUAUUGCGGGCGUUAGAUGUUUGAGAGGGCUUGAUUCUAGUACGAGAGGACCGAAUUGAACAAACCUCUGGUGUAUCAGUUGUACCGCCAGGUGCACUGCUGAGUAGCUACGUUUGGAAGAGAUAAGCACUGAAGGCAUAUAAGUGCGAAACUCGCCUCAAGAUGAGACAUCUUUUAAGGGUCGUUGGAGAUGACGACGUUGAUAGGCUACAGGUGUAAAGACAGUAAUGUCAUAGCCGAGUAGUACUAAUUACCCGUAGAUUUAUAGCCUGAUAUGGCGCACG
Molecule: ribosomal RNA, 2775 nt
Filed under: Chryseobacterium nakagawai
Lineage: Bacteria; Pseudomonadati; Bacteroidota; Flavobacteriia; Flavobacteriales; Weeksellaceae
Description: bacterial LSU rRNA
Rfam family: Bacterial large subunit ribosomal RNA
Source: RNAcentral